Molecule: transfer RNA, 72 nt
Filed under: Ictidomys tridecemlineatus (thirteen-lined ground squirrel)
Lineage: Eukaryota; Metazoa; Chordata; Mammalia; Rodentia; Sciuridae
Description: Spermophilus tridecemlineatus (thirteen-lined ground squirrel) tRNA
Rfam family: tRNA
About the family: Transfer RNA (tRNA) molecules are approximately 80 nucleotides in length.
Source: Rfam by way of RNAcentral
GGUGUUGUAGCUCAAUGGUAGAGUGCUUGCUUAGCUCGCAUGAGACCCUAGAUUCUAUCCCCAGCAGCCCCC